GGGAGUCUGGCCGAGUGGUGUAUGUGCUACUGCUCUAUGCGCAGUCAUUCGUGGCGCAGGUUCGAAUCCUGCGGCUCUCA
This is a non-coding RNA of Rhynchosporium graminicola, 80 nucleotides long. NCBI's taxonomy places the organism in Eukaryota, Fungi, Ascomycota, Leotiomycetes, Helotiales, Ploettnerulaceae. The record is from the annotation of a GenBank genome assembly.